GGCCGUUCGUUGUUCUGAAACCACCUAUAUAAAUUAGGGUUUGAGAUAAGAUCUUUUUUCAUUCCAACUAUUAAUAUCGCUUGGUUUUUCCUUCUUCCUCAGCCUUACGGUUUCUGUUUGCGGAUGAGAUUUAUCCUCCGAUGUCUUUCCUGCCGAGGAUUCUGUCCUCAGAUCUGCUCGCAUCGGUUCAACAUAUCCUCUUUGAUUUCUGAUGUUGUACUGUGAAAGGAGUAGCGUCGUUGGAUCUAUGGUUUUAAAGGCCUUUGCUGGGCAAGGAAGCAAAGAUUGGCAGGAUUCAAGUUCUUGCUGCUUUUUAAGGAUGGUCUCACCAAGGGCUGAGAUUUAUACGCUCUUCAGAUGUAAGUUGAAAAUAAACAAGGCAUCUGAUUGUGUGAGACGGCGACGUGAGAUUGAAUCGGCUGGUUUGCUUAUGAAAGGAUGUGUAAGAUGUCGGGGCAAAAAGUCCUACUGAUAAUAUUUUUUUGAAGGGGACCGUGUCCUGAUCUAUCUUUGUCGUCCGAGACCUUUGCCAUGACAGGUGCGCUUGCAUGGCAGGUCACCAAACUUAAUAAAAAUAGAACUUUUUUUGUGGUGUUUUUUGAGGGGAGAUCGCACGGGGGUUUGCCCGGGUUCUCCCUUCUGCUGUGGUGUCUCGUAUCGUGUCUUCUCUUCUUUUUUCUUCUAUUUCCCUUGCUCUCUUUCCAUUAUUUUGCAUCAUACGGGAUGGAUGUAUGAUCCAACAUCAUCACCAACGUCGGAAUAAGCUCAUGAACUCCAAGCUAUAUCACUAGCGAUUCUCAAGGCCAAGGUAUUAUUUUUCCAUAUUUUUAACACCCAAUCCGCCUUAUCUAAUUCUACUUUAAAAUCUAAUUAUAAAUUUUAUUAUCAUGCAAUUAGUUAACUUGACAAAAGUCAAUAAGUCGUAAUAAUUAGAUUUUAACAUAUUUUAAGGGUUUAAUCUUUUAUAUUAAUAAUUGAUCUUAGAUUUAAUACAUUUUUGAAAGAAGAGGUAAUUUUAUUCGAAUUUCUGUAACUAUUAAUUUAUUCCUUGCUAGUUUCUUGAAAAGAGCAUGAUUGAUUUUAAAGUUAAUUCAUUGAUAAUUGUUUAUUAAAUUGAUACCAGUUAUCUAAUCUUUGAAAUAAGUUUGAUUUAAUUUAAAGUUGAAUUAUUUGAUUUAGUAAUUAAAUUUUUAACAUAUUAGUAAUUAGCCUAAAAUGAUUUUUUGAAAUUAAUUUUUUUAUUAGAGGAUAUAACUUAAAAUCCAAUUUAAAGCAGAAUAAUUUUAAUAACAUCGGGGCUAAAUAAAAUAAUUGUAGGAAGUAGUCAGUUUUACUUGCAUCUUCAUUGUGUUAAAUUUGAUAAUUAUAUUGGGUAAACUGUCUCUAAAAUGAAGUUAAAAAGUUGCUUAACUGUGAAAUUUGCAAUAUGAUCCAUUAAUUUUUAACCCAUGGAAUAUUAGAUUAUUAGAGCAAUCAUCGUUUCAUUUAGCUGUUAUAUACAUGACAAUUAAAAGUUAAUCCUGUAUUAAUCAGAUUCUCAUGGCAGAUUUUAAUUAAUGUUAGUUUAAAAAUAUUCAUUGGAUAUUAUUAAAGAAUUUAAAAAAAUAUUAUAAGAUAUUAUUAUUAUAUAGAUAAAGGUAUUCUAAGAAAAUUUAAUUUACUGAUAAAAUUUUAUUCGAAUUUAAUUUGAACUUUUAAGAGUCGAUUUGCAUCCAAACUUGACAUUAUAAUACCAAAUUUCAUCCACACGGUUUAUUGAAUUGCAUUUUAGUCUUUAGUCUUUUAUCCUUGCAAAAGUUUGAAUGCUCUUGAAUUGCCUAUGCUUCCUUUUCGUUUAUUAUUUACAUUAUCAUGUUACUUUAUUUGAGGCGAAAUGCGUUAAUUUUGCUAUUACUUUUAUGAAACUGUAAUACUUAGGAGAAUGUCAUAUGUAGGUUGAUGCAGCAUAUGUACUUUGCUUGUAUAUUGCAUUUGGUAGUUGUUUAGGCCCUUGCACGGGCUUGUGUUUUAAUUGGCUUGAAGGUUGUGAGUACUAUCUGUGGGUCGAGUGAAGAUGUCACAGCAGUGAGGUUAAAGAUGUUGGAGGUAUUUUUUGGUUUAUACCAUAUCUAUUCUCUUUGAUUAACUCUGGAAAUCAAGAUAUGUGCGUUGAAGUGUUCGUCUCUAGUUCGGUCGACAUUCUUGAUCUAUGUUGGAAGGUGUAUGAAGCCCUCGGGAGUCGGAACUGAGCUUUGGAGGCAGUGAAUAUAGUAAUACAUGGCGUUGCAGGUCAAUUCUCUGGAGAUAUUUCAAUCAGAAUCGAAUUGUUGAAGCAUUGAAGUCGUUAUUUGAACCUCUCUUGGUUUUUUAUAUGAUGCAGAGCUAUAGUGAGAUUAGUAUUGAAGAGCUCUUGAACAAAUACCAUAAGAGGUACAUGUAGAUUGGCCGUGUAAACCAGUUCCAUUACAUAGUGAAGAUUUUUAAAGUGGACUAAGGUCCCGUGGUUUUUUCCCUUCAAGGGGUUUUCCACGUAAAUUUUGGUGUCCCCUUUUUAUGUUUAUGUUGCGCACUUAUGUCAAUAUCUUUUGCAGUUGUGAUAAUGUUACUAUAGCAGGUAUGAUAACUGUGAGCCGUUUAAUUUAUCAGUAAAUUACUCUGUUUAUUACUAUGGUGUUCUGUUUCUUCAACUGUGUAAGAUUUCUAAAAUCUAGAUUGCAGGUUGAAGGGUGGAAUAAAGGCUGAAACAGGAAUUUGGCUCUUGAUAACUAAAAUUUAGAUUGCAGGUUGAAAGGUGGAUUAAAGCUCAGAAAUUUUGUAUUUUGAAAAAUUCAUUUUAUAGCCAAUCCUGUUAUUUAAAAAUUUUAACAUUUUACGGUUUUGAUAAUGUAUACGAUAUAAAUUCAUUUUUUUAGUUUCAGAUUUAGAAUAUUUCUUAGUUUUUAAAUUUUCAUUCAUUUUUUUAAAUGAGAAUUUUAUAAAUUGAAAACGCAAGAAACAAAAAUAAAUGGAGUAUUAGUGGAUAAAUAUUUUUUUACGGCAUCUAGAAAGCAUAUGUGCAUAUGCGACUUCUAAUGUCAAAAACUUUUCGUUACUUGAGCCGAUUAGCAAGUGUUUUUUUUCCUCAAAAAGUUACAAGCAAGUUUCAUAGGCGAUUUGAGGGUGUAAAUAAUGGGGGUAGUUUUCCAAUUUACAUAUACCACGAUUAUUUAUCAAAAUGGAUGUUUUUGUACGGUUUUUGAAGGUGUAUUUGAACUUCACGAAUUGAACACUGUACAGGAAAAAUAAAAAGAAAAUCCGGACAUGGGGACGAGGAUUUGAUGAAAACAGGUUAAGUGUGUGUUAAAGAAGAUAGGCACCUUAAUCUGUGAUUUGAAAGAUCUGUAAGCUCAAAAUGGCAGAGCGCUCAAUCCUAUAAGAGGAUUGAGAGGUCGGUGGUUCAAAUCCACCCAGAUCUCCUGCCUCACGUGUAUCGGGGGAGAUGUUAAAAGAUAUGUGGUUUAAAUCUUAUCCAAAAGGAUUUGAUAUCUUUUAUAAUUUUGAUUUAAAUGAUAAAAAUGAAUUCAAAACCUGCUUUUUCCUUUGGGUGCUAAAAAAUUCAUCUCUUCAAUAUGGCAGUUGCAAGAGACGAUGGGAUGCUGCAAAAGGAUAUGAUUAACCAAAUGUGAGUGAUACAGAUGUCACCUUUGGCAGUGAGGAGAAAGCUUUCGUUCCACAAUGGGAAACAACUUACUACUAUUUGUAGUCCUUUUAAUCUUUUAUUUACUUUCAAUCCAUUUUUUAAUUAUGAAUAUGUUAUUAAAAUUGGUAUUCUUUUUUUUAAUUUAGUAAAGAAAAAUAUAUUUAUAGAA
Gossypium arboreum is the source of this 3827-nucleotide long non-coding RNA. RefSeq lists it as uncharacterized. The transcript has 2 exons. The record is from RefSeq and is a predicted model, not a curated record. NCBI's taxonomy places the organism in Eukaryota, Viridiplantae, Streptophyta, Magnoliopsida, Malvales, Malvaceae.